This is a long non-coding RNA of Mytilus californianus (California mussel), 257 nucleotides long. RefSeq lists it as uncharacterized. The record is from RefSeq and is a predicted model, not a curated record. NCBI's taxonomy places the organism in Eukaryota, Metazoa, Mollusca, Bivalvia, Mytilida, Mytilidae. The transcript is spliced from 3 exons.
CACCUUUGAACUGCCUAAUUCAAAACAACAGCUAUGAAUUGUAUGUGGAGUUUUAUCCUCGUCUGUAAUUUUGUGAUGCAUUUCGAGGCGGAGGCAGAAGGAUCAUGUUCUGCAGUUGAAAAGAAGAUCUUUGAUAACCUUUGGAAUACGUUAGUUGCUUUAAAAUCCGGUUCCACCAAUCAUGGUGAUAGCAAUGGAAAGAAUAGACCUGCCUUUACAGCAGCACUAUCUCCAAAUCCUUUAACGCUAAGUGGGAA